This is a long non-coding RNA of Apis florea (little honeybee), 546 nucleotides long. NCBI's taxonomy places the organism in Eukaryota, Metazoa, Arthropoda, Insecta, Hymenoptera, Apidae. The record is from RefSeq and is a predicted model, not a curated record.
AAAAACGAAGAAAAGUGUGUUUUACUUUGCAAGGUAACAGCGAGAAUGGGAAAAGUGUGAAAGGUCGUACGAGAGGACAUGUCUUUCUAGAAACACCACUAGCACAUCACAUAUCAUGUACGGCAUAUCAGAUGAGCCACUAGUCUGUAGACUAGAUGUAGAGAUAGCAGCCAUGUUCCUGGAGCGCCAGAUAGUUUUAGUGAAAGCAACCCAGAGAUACUCGAUACGAGAUCGAUACGAAUUUCAACGCGGUGUGCUGUGAGAAAGGAGUGGCGAACGGUGGUGAUUCGAUGUUCGAUGUUCAAGUGAUACGGGGAACGAGAAACUUGUGAAGUGGUGAAAUUGUUCGUAUCUAAACCCGUUACGAACCCGUGAUGUGAACGCGAAUAUUGUGAAACAUCCUCACGAACCAUUUAACGAAAUUUUAAGUAAUAAUAAUAUUAAUAAUAUUAAUAUAUUAUUCGCGUAUUCGCGAAGAGACAUUAUAUUUGUACAUAAUUUAGAACGCUCCGUGUGUUGAACGCCAAUGUGACGAUUUUCAGAACA